This 697-nucleotide long non-coding RNA is filed under the name Trifolium pratense (red clover). RNAcentral describes it as "long non-coding RNA (TPRA_LNC007919)". The record is from RNAcentral. Lineage: Eukaryota; Viridiplantae; Streptophyta; Magnoliopsida; Fabales; Fabaceae.
AUAAUUUGAUUAAGGAUGGUUCGAAUUUUUACAAUCUGGGUACGCAACAAUGAAAGUAGGAACAUUAACAGUGUAUUUGAGAAAACAAAACAGUGUAAGAUCCCAAUAUUAUUGCUUCUCGACACAUAUUUGACAGAGAUAAAAACAACACCAACAUAAUAGAAUCAAAUAAAUCUCAAUAAUUAACUUAAUAAUCUAGUACAAAAAUUGAAAAGAAAAAAAAAUCAAUUUUACAUAAUCUCAAACAACACAAUCAAACGCAAAAUACAAAGAGGGGAACAAUGGAAUCAUCACCAUAAACCCAAAAAUCAAAAUAGUCACUGCCGCUGCCAUAAAUUAGUCGCCGCCAUCUUUAAACAAUCACCUCCGUGUAAUUCUAUCAUCUAUGAUGUGUAGUUGCGUUGAGAGUGGAAGUUGUAAAAGAAGAGAAGAAAGAAAGAGUGAACUUGGAGUUUGCUAGAGAAAUAAAAAAGGAUUGCCAUGAGGAAGAAGUUACUGAUAAGUAUGCAAAAUAGAGAUACAAAUAGAAAAUUGUUCCAUCAAAUUCAAAACCCCAGAUUUUUACACGCCAUUGAUAAUGUUGUUACCCGCGUGAGACAAAAGUAAAGAAGGGAGGACCAGUCUUUUUUUAUUUAAAAAAUGAUAAUGUAUUGAUCCAAUAUGCCAACCGCUAGAUUGAUCCAAUGGUAGUUAUAUU